Molecule: long non-coding RNA, 940 nt
Organism: Cyprinus carpio (common carp)
Lineage: Eukaryota; Metazoa; Chordata; Actinopteri; Cypriniformes; Cyprinidae
Source: Ensembl
AUCGCACAUCUGGCUUCAGCCAAUCAGGAUAUUUCUGCUGAUGAUUUUGCACCAUGAUAAGCAAGCCUGGACAUGUUUGAGAACAUGAUGUCAAAUAUAGGUAUGUAUCUCACUUUCAGUCGCACUUUCUCACUCUCUUCUCCCUCAUUUCCUUCAGCUCUCUCUCUCUCCUCGUGUCCUCUGUGUGAUGUAAUGUAAAGCAGAAAUGGUGUCGACUCUUUGACCUUGCCUUAAAUCUUCAGACUGAGAACGAGAGAGGCCUGUUUGUUCUGACUGACAUCAUGUCUUAACCCCAGAUGGCUCCACUUCAACCAAGUUCCUCCUCACGCACCUCCUGAGGAGCAACACACACACAGUGCCGCAGUCUUUGUCUGACUGCUGUGAAAGUCCGAUGGCUCAGGAAUACUAAUCCCACUCGCAUGUCAUUUGGACGGACCAGAGGAGCAGCUAAUGGGGCAGGCGAGAUGAGGAGGAGACACUGUCGAUGGCUGUGUGGCAGUGUGUGUGAGUGGCGGAGUCCUCCCAGCCACAGAGAUAAAGAUUAGCAAAGGCCGAGCUGAACACAGAGGUAAGUGUCUGCCGCAAUAGCCCCAAUCACAUUGUGAAAGGCUCUUCACUCAAAAGCACUGUGUCCUGCACAGGUCCAUUUACUGCACAUGGCACUGCACAUCAUCCCGCUACUGCUGCCAGUGAAAAACAGGCCUUCCACUUUGGGCAGAGUGAGACCUCAAUGGCACGAUCAGGGGAUGGAGAGUGGAAGUGUGAUGAGAGAGGAGGAGUAAGAGAGAAAGAUAAAUGGGCUUAAUGGACUAUCAUGAAUGCAGUGGGCGGAGUCAUGCCAGUGUCACUCAUUCCACCCCCUCUGAAUGAUCUCUGACCUGUCCUUGACUGGAAUUGAAUCCCUGCUCUGGUAGGUGAUGAUUCUUGCACCAACCACAAA